This 449-nucleotide ribosomal RNA is filed under the name uncultured bacterium. RNAcentral's name for it is "partial 16S ribosomal RNA". It matches the Rfam family "Bacterial small subunit ribosomal RNA", at positions 330 to 793 of the family's 1533-position model. The record is from RNAcentral.
GCCAGACUCCUACGGGAGGCAGCAGUGGGGAAUAUUGCACAAUGGGGGGAACCCUGAUGCAGCGACGCCGCGUGGGCGAGGAAGUAUUUCGGUAUGUAAAGCCCUAUCGGCAGGGAAGAAGAAAUGACGGUACCUGAAUAAGAAGCACCGGCUAAUUCCGUGCCAGCAGCCGCGGUAAUACGGAAGGUCCGGGCGUUAUCCGGAUUUAUUGGGUUUAAAGGGAGCGUAGGCCGGCUUUUAAGUCAGCUGUGAAAGUCCGCGGCUCAACCGUGGAAUUGCAGUUGAAACUGGAGGCCUUGAGUGCACACAGGGAUGCCGGAAUUCAUGGUGUAGCGGUGAAAUGCUUAGAUAUCAUGAAGAACUCCGAUCGCGAAGGCAAGUGUCCGGGGUGCAACUGACGCUGAGGCUCGAAAGUGCGGGUAUCAAACAGGAUUAGAUACCCCGGUACG